UACGGGGGGGGUAAGCGUUGUUCGGAAUUACUGGGCGUAAAGCGCGCGCAGGCGGUCUUCCAAGUCAGUGGUGAAAGCCUGGAGCUCAACUCCAGAACUGCCAUUGAAACUGUUAGACUUGAGUACGAGAGAGGUGAGUGGAAUUCCCAGUGUAGAGGUGAAAUUCGUAGAUAUUGGGAAGAACACCAGUGGCGAAGGCGGCUCACUGGCUCGUAACUGACGCUCAGGCGCGACAGCGUGGGGAUCAAACAGG
RNAcentral lists this ribosomal RNA (253 nucleotides) under uncultured bacterium. RNAcentral's name for it is "partial 16S ribosomal RNA". It matches the Rfam family "Bacterial small subunit ribosomal RNA", at positions 524 to 776 of the family's 1533-position model. The record is from RNAcentral.